Molecule: ribosomal RNA, 301 nt
Filed under: uncultured bacterium
Lineage: Bacteria
Description: partial 16S ribosomal RNA
Rfam family: Bacterial small subunit ribosomal RNA
Source: RNAcentral
CAGUCGCCGCGGGAACACGUAGGUGGCAAGCGUUGUCCGGAAUUAUUGGGCGUAAAGGGCUCGCAGGCGGUUUCUUAAGUCUGAUGUGAAAGCCCCCGGCUCAACCGGGGAGGGUCAUUGGAAACUGGGAAACUUGAGUGUAGAAGAGGAGAGUGGAAUUCCACGUGUAGCGGUGAAAUGCGUAGAGAUGUGGAGGAACACCAGUGGCGAAGGCGACUCUCUGGUCUGUAACUGACGCUGAGGAGCGAAAGCGUGGGGAGCGAACAGGAUUAGAUACCCCAGUAGUCCCUGUCUCUUAUAA